AAAUGCGCCCUGGAGCUUAAAAGAUGGACCUAAUUGAAAAAAUUGUAUUGAGGUUGUAGCAGGGGAUAAAAGGGAAAGCUGGGCCGAGAUUAACCUGGAGCUCGGUGAGCCGGGAAGCGUGGCAGCCGUGGCCAGGUCCCUAAGCCAAUUCCCGGCCGUGGCCUCCCUGUUCAAUCCAUGCUGACGGGGAGGUGGUUUGUCCUGGAUGCAGGAGAGCCCGGCACGCUCUGGUUUUGUGCAUCAGCUCCAGCAGAGAGGACCAGCGGCGGAGCUGGAGAGCUGGAUCCCACUGAGAGGAUGAAAACAUGGGGCACAAGUUAUCCUGCCUGAAAGGCUUGAAGACAUGUGUGAGCAGCGGGAACGGCAGCGACCGGCCCCCGACAGCGUCCUCGGGGGAGAAGAACCUGCACGUGCCCUCCAUCAUCGUCACGCCGCCCACACCCACGGGGA
Long non-coding RNA from Myiozetetes cayanensis, 450 nucleotides. RefSeq lists it as uncharacterized. The transcript is spliced from 3 exons. The record is from RefSeq and is a predicted model, not a curated record. Lineage: Eukaryota; Metazoa; Chordata; Aves; Passeriformes; Tyrannidae.